CGUCUCUCGCUUGCAGAACUUGAGCCCCUUUUGGUUCUUCAAGAAUUCAUUAUUUGUUGUGUAAUAGCAUUGGAUUUGUACUAUAUUUUGUAUGCUUAUGUGUUAAUUGCCAAUCAUUGAAAUUUCUUUUUGUUUUUUUAUUUCGUGUCCAACGUUUCUUUCUUAUUUCUUGUUUUCGUAAAUUGAAUUAGAAUUUUUACUUGUGGUACUUAAAGCUUGCUCGUGGUUUUCAUAUUUAAAAUUAAAAGUUAUAAGAAGCUAUGAUGAUCUUAUUCGCCUGAAGGUAUAGAUUUAAAAAUAAAUCGUUUAUAAUAACCUAGCAUAUUUGGUUGAGUCUUGUCAAUAUAUCUCCAACUAAAGGUCGAUCAGAACUU
This 374-nucleotide long non-coding RNA is filed under the name Arabidopsis lyrata. RNAcentral's name for it is "long non-coding RNA (ALYR_LNC002518)". The record is from RNAcentral. Lineage: Eukaryota; Viridiplantae; Streptophyta; Magnoliopsida; Brassicales; Brassicaceae.